AGCAGCCGCGGUAAUUCCAGCUCCAAUAGCGUAUAUUAAAGUUGUUGCAGUUAAAAAGCUCGUAGUUGAAUUUCGGGGUUCUACCGUUGGUCGGGCAAUAGUCUGUACUGGCGUGUAGAAUUUCUACCUUCUGGGGAACCAUCAUGUUAUUUAUUUAGCGUGGUGGGAAACCAGGACCUUUACCUUGAAAAAAUUAGAGUGUUCAAAGCAGGCUUACGUCUGAAUACAUUAGCAUGGAAUAAUAAAAUAGGACGGUGGUCCUGUUUUGUUGGUUUCUGAAUCACCGUAAUGAUUAAUAGGGAUAGUUGGGGGCAUUAGUAUUCAAUUGUCAGAGGUGAAAUUCUUGGAUUUAUUGAAGACUAACUUCUGCGAAAGCAUUUGCCAAGGAUGUUUUCAUUAAUCAAGAACGAAAGUUAGGGGAUCGAAGACGAUCAGAUACCGUCGUAGUCUUAACCAUAAACUAUGCCGACUAGGGAUCGGACGAUGUUAAUUUUUCUUGACUCGUUCGGCGCCUUACGG
This 519-nucleotide ribosomal RNA is filed under the name uncultured Gigasporaceae. RNAcentral describes it as "SSU rRNA". It matches the Rfam family "Eukaryotic small subunit ribosomal RNA", at positions 569 to 1093 of the family's 1831-position model. Lineage: Eukaryota; Fungi; Glomeromycota; Glomeromycetes; Diversisporales; Gigasporaceae. The record is from RNAcentral.